GUAGGUUAUUGCCAGGGUUUUUAUUUUUAUACUUUAAACUUUGAUUUUAUUUUUAUGUUUUUUAAAUAUUGGUGUUUUUGAAUGUGUUGUUUAAAUAACAUAAAAAAUAAAAUAUAUAUUGACAUGUAUUAAACAAAGAUAUAUAUUAUUUUAUGUUGUAUAAAUAAAUUGGCAAAAUAGAGAUGGAAGAUAAAAAUAUGGUCAAAGUAAUAAGAGUC
RNAcentral lists this unclassified non-coding RNA (218 nucleotides) under Borreliella burgdorferi (Lyme disease spirochete). RNAcentral's name for it is "partial 5S-23S ribosomal RNA intergenic spacer". RNAcentral also lists the same sequence under 4 other names. The record is from RNAcentral. Lineage: Bacteria; Pseudomonadati; Spirochaetota; Spirochaetia; Spirochaetales; Borreliaceae.